RNAcentral lists this non-coding RNA (28 nucleotides) under Bombyx mori (domestic silkworm). Lineage: Eukaryota; Metazoa; Arthropoda; Insecta; Lepidoptera; Bombycidae. The record is from RNAcentral.
UCGUAACUCGAAAUGGCCUUGCCGGUGU